Mauremys mutica (yellowpond turtle) is the source of this 678-nucleotide non-coding RNA. The record is from the annotation of a RefSeq genome assembly. Lineage: Eukaryota; Metazoa; Chordata; Testudines; Geoemydidae.
AUGGGAUUUUUGCUCCUGUUCAUUUUCGCUGUAGCCGCUUUGGAAGGUGUCCGGUCCCAGGUGCAGCUGGUGGAGUCCGGCGGGGAUGUGAAAAAGCCCGGAGACUCUCUCCGCCUCUCCUGCAAAGCCUCCGGGUUCACCUUCAGCAGCUACGAGAUGAGCUGGCUCCGACAGGCUCCCGGGAAGGGGCUGGAAUGGGUCGCUUAUAUUAGCAGCAGUGGGGGUACUAUUUACUACCUUGAUUCAGUGAAAGGCCGGUUCACCAUCUCCAGGGAUAAUCCCAAGAGUGAGCUGUAUCUGCAAAUGACCGGCCUGAAGCCCGAGGACACCGCCCGCUAUUACUGUGUCCGGUCCCAGGUGCAGCUGGUGGAGUCCGGAGGGGAUGUGAAAAAGCCCGGAGACUCUCUCCGCCUCUCCUGCAAAGCCUCCGGGUUCACCUUCAGCGACUACGGGAUGCACUGGGUCCGCCAGGCUCCCGGGCAGGGACUGGAGUGGGUCGCUACAGUCAGUAAGCCAAGUGGAUCCAGCCAGUGGUAUUCCCCGGCCGUUCAAGGCCGAUUCACCAUGUCCCGGGACAACUCCGUCAGCUCGGCUUAUCUACAAAUGACCGGCCUCAAAGCCGAGGACACUGGCCGCUAUUACUGUGCUAGAGACACGACCAGAAAAUUACCAUUGGGG